GAUCCUGGCUCAGGAUGAACGCUAGCUACAGGCUUAACACAUGCAAGUCGAGGGGCAGCAUGGUCUUAGCUUGCUAAGGCCGAUGGCGACCGGCGCACGGGUGAGUAACGCGUAUCCAACCUGCCUUACACUCUUGGACAGCCUUCUGAAAAGGGAGAUUAAAUACAAGAUGUUAUCAUGAGUAAGCAUUUUCGUCAUGAUUAAAGGUUUACCGGUGUAAGAUGGGGAGUGCGUUCC
RNAcentral lists this ribosomal RNA (237 nucleotides) under uncultured bacterium. Its description in RNAcentral is "partial 16S ribosomal RNA". It matches the Rfam family "Bacterial small subunit ribosomal RNA", at positions 15 to 239 of the family's 1533-position model. The record is from RNAcentral.